GAGAAGUGAAAAAUAAUGUUAUCACCUUAUUCAAAGGGUUGAAAGAGUCUUGUUUGGAGUCGUGUGGGAUUGAAUAAUUAUGUUUGUAAUAUUUCAGAAGUAGGCAGAAAAAUAAAAAAAAUAAAAAAAUAAAAAAUAAAAAAAAAGAAUGAAAAAAUAGAAGGAUAAGAGGAAGAAAAAAAGGAGUUAUGUUUGUAAUAUUUCAAUACAUGUCAAUACAUACUCCUUAAAAAAAAUGAAUAAAAAGAGGAAGGAGAAGAGAAAACAAUUGCUAUAGAGUUGUUGAAGUGAAUGAAAUAUUUUGUAAAUUCAACUCCCG
This 319-nucleotide long non-coding RNA is filed under the name Lathyrus oleraceus (garden pea). RNAcentral describes it as "Pisum sativum (pea) long non-coding RNA (PSAT_LNC027092)". Lineage: Eukaryota; Viridiplantae; Streptophyta; Magnoliopsida; Fabales; Fabaceae. The record is from RNAcentral.